CUACCUAUAAGACUGGGAUAACUUCGGGAAACCGGAGCUAAUACCGGAUAAUAUUUUGAACCGCAUGGUUCAAAAGUGAAAGACGGUCUUGCUGUCACUUAUAGAUGGAUCCGCGCUGCAUUAGCUAGUUGGUAAGGUAACGGCUUACCAAGGCAACGAUGCAUAGCCGACCUGAGAGGGUGAUCGGCCACACUGGAACUGAGACACGGUCCAGACUCCUACGGGAGGCAGCAGUAGGGAAUCUUCCGCAAUGGGCGAAAGCCUGACGGAGCAACGCCGCGUGAGUGAUGAAGGUCUUCGGAUCGUAAAACUCUGUUAUUAGGGAAGAACAUAUGUGUAAGUAACUGUGCACAUCUUGACGGUACCUAAUCAGAAAGCCACGGCUAACUACGUGCCAGCAGCCGCGGUAAUACGUAGGUGGCAAGCGUUAUCCGGAAUUAUUGGGCGUAAAGCGCGCGUAGGCGGUUUUUUAAGUCUGAUGUGAAAGCCCACGGCUCAACCGUGGAGGGUCAUUGGAAACUGGAAAACUUGAGUGCAGAAGAGGAAAGUGGAAUUCCAUGUGUAGCGGUGAAAUGCGCAGAGAUAUGGAGGAACACCAGUGGCGAAGGCGACUUUCUGGUCUGUAACUGACGCUGAUGUGCGAAAGCGUGGGGAUCAAACAGGAUUAGAUACCCUGGUAGUCCACGCCGUAAACGAUGAGUGCUAAGUGUUAGGGGGUUUCCGCCCCUUAGUGCUGCAGCUAACGCAUUAAGCACUCCGCCUGGGGAGUACGACCGCAAGGUUGAAACUCAAAGGAAUUGACGGGGACCCGCACAAGCGGUGGAGCAUGUGGUUUAAUUCGAAGCAACGCGAAGAACCUUACCAAAUCUUGACAUCCUUUGACAACUCUAGAGAUAGAGCCUUCCCCUUCGGGGGACAAAGUGACAGGUGGUGCAUGGUUGUCGUCAGCUCGUGUCGUGAGAUGUUGGGUUAAGUCCCGCAACGAGCGCAACCCUUAAGCUUAGUUGCCAUCAUUAAGUUGGGCACUCUAAGUUGACUGCCGGUGACAAACCGGAGGAAGGUGGGGAUGACGUCAAAUCAUCAUGCCCCUUAUGAUUUGGGCUACACACGUGC
Molecule: ribosomal RNA, 1113 nt
Filed under: Staphylococcus aureus
Lineage: Bacteria; Bacillati; Bacillota; Bacilli; Caryophanales; Staphylococcaceae
Description: bacterial SSU rRNA
Rfam family: Bacterial small subunit ribosomal RNA
Source: RNAcentral